GACGAACGCUGGCGGCGUGCUUAACACAUGCAAGUCGAACGGAAAGGCCCUGCUUUUGUGGGGUGCUCGAGUGGCGAACGGGUGAGUAACACGUGAGUAACCUGCCCUUGACUUUGGGAUAACUUCAGGAAACUGAGGCUAAUACCGGGUAGGAGCUCCUGCUGCAUGGUGGGGGUUGGAAAGUUUCGGCGGUUGGGGAUGGACUCGCGGUUUAUCAGCUUGUUGGUGGGGUAGUGGCGUACCAAGGCUUUGACGGGUAGCCGGCCUGAGAGGGUGACCGGCCACAUUGGGACUGAGAUAGGGGCCAGACUCCUACGGGAGGCAGCAGUGGGGAAUAUUGCACAAUGGGCGGAAGCCUGAUGCAGCAACGCCGCGUGCGGGAUGACGGCCUUCGGGGUGUAAACCGCUUUCGCCUGUGACGAAGCGUGAGUGACGGUAAUGGGUAAAGAAGCACCGGCUAACUACGUG
RNAcentral lists this ribosomal RNA (468 nucleotides) under uncultured bacterium. Its description in RNAcentral is "partial 16S ribosomal RNA". It matches the Rfam family "Bacterial small subunit ribosomal RNA", at positions 28 to 507 of the family's 1533-position model. The record is from RNAcentral.